GGAGGUGUGCCUGAAAGUUAAGGAACUCCUUGAUAGGGAGAACCAUAGAGGUUAAAAUCCUCUCACCUCC
This 70-nucleotide transfer RNA is filed under the name Pristimantis sp. QCAZ 47002. RNAcentral's name for it is "tRNA-Ile". It matches the Rfam family "tRNA". From Rfam's summary of the family: Transfer RNA (tRNA) molecules are approximately 80 nucleotides in length. Their secondary structure includes four short double-helical elements and three loops (D, anti-codon, and T loops). The record is from RNAcentral. Lineage: Eukaryota; Metazoa; Chordata; Amphibia; Anura; Strabomantidae.